CAGCCGCCGCGGUAAUACCGGCGGCCCGAGUGGCGGUCACUAUUAUUGGGCUUAAAGCGUCCGUAGCCGGGUUGGGAAGUCCUCCGGGAAAUCUGGCCGCUUAACGGUCAGAAUGCCGGAGGAUACUCCCAGCCUAGGGAGCGGGAGAGGCCGAGGGGAUUCCCGGAGUAGGGGGGAAAUCCUAUAAUCCCGGGAGGACCACCUGUGGCGAAGGCGCCCGGCUGGAACGCGUCCGACGGUGAGGGACGAAGGCCAGGGGAGCAAACCGGAUUAGAUACCCGGGUAGUCCUGGCUGUAAACGAUGCGGACUUUGUGUCGGACAAGCUAUGAGCUUGUCCGGUGCCGGAGGGAAACCGUUAAGUCCGCCGCCUGGGGAGUACGGCCGCAAGGCUGAAACUUAAAGGAAUUGGCGGG
RNAcentral lists this ribosomal RNA (414 nucleotides) under uncultured microorganism. RNAcentral describes it as "bacterial SSU rRNA". It matches the Rfam family "Archaeal small subunit ribosomal RNA", at positions 459 to 872 of the family's 1478-position model. The record is from RNAcentral.